This 377-nucleotide long non-coding RNA is filed under the name Lathyrus oleraceus (garden pea). RNAcentral describes it as "Pisum sativum (pea) long non-coding RNA (PSAT_LNC041283)". The record is from RNAcentral. Lineage: Eukaryota; Viridiplantae; Streptophyta; Magnoliopsida; Fabales; Fabaceae.
AGGUCGCCUUCUCGGAACACACGAGGAUUGACCUUCUUGUCGAAUACUUUUUCACUCUCUGCUGAUAUGACUGACCAUGACACAUGGCAGUUGAUCUCUUCUUUUCGAUUGAAUUCAGCAUCAGCCAACUUGGGACUUUGAGGGUGCUAUUUCUCUUUUGUUUUUUUUUCUUUCUUUUUCUUUCUUUUGAUUUCUUUUAAUUUCUUUUGAUUUGGUUUUGCACUCUCCUCUUUCUUUUUUCCUUUUUUUUCUUUCUUUUUUUUUGAUAAUGCCCCAGUUGGCUGUUCUGCUGAUUCUCGAGGUGCAGCUGAGUGAUCUUCUUUUCUUGCUCAAGAAGUCGGGAAAUCUCGUCAGGAAUCCCUUCAACAUCAUCUUCG